RNAcentral lists this ribosomal RNA (324 nucleotides) under uncultured eukaryote. RNAcentral describes it as "partial 18S ribosomal RNA". It matches the Rfam family "Eukaryotic small subunit ribosomal RNA", at positions 1470 to 1796 of the family's 1831-position model. The record is from RNAcentral.
CCCUUAGAUGUCCUGGGCUGCACGCGCGCUACACUGAUGUGUCCAGUAAGCACCUAACCUAUUCCGAGAGGAGCGGGUAACCUUAGCAAAGCACAUCGUGAUGGGGAUAGAUUAUUGCAAUUAUUAGUCUUGAACGAGGAAUUCCUAGUAAGCACAAGUCAUCAGCUUGUGUUGAUUACGUCCCUGCCCUUUGUACACACCGCCCGUCGCUCCUACCGAUUGAAUGUUCCGGUGAGCUCUUCGGACUGCGCGGUCUGCAGUUUCUGCGUUCCGUGCGGAAAGUUGUGCAAACCUUAACAUUUAGAGGAAAGAGAAGUCGUAACA